CAGUAUUGACUGCUAUGUAGUCUUUUACCUAUUCAACCACUGUGCAUUGUUACGUGACGUUCGCGUCACCACACUUUCACCAAUGAUUGAAUAACACAUACAUAAAAUACGCAGUA
This 116-nucleotide unclassified non-coding RNA is filed under the name soil metagenome. RNAcentral describes it as "partial internal transcribed spacer 1". The record is from RNAcentral.